Molecule: non-coding RNA, 158 nt
Filed under: Rhodospirillales bacterium
Lineage: Bacteria; Pseudomonadati; Pseudomonadota; Alphaproteobacteria; Rhodospirillales
Description: 6S RNA
Rfam family: 6S / SsrS RNA
About the family: E. coli 6S RNA was the first non coding RNA to be sequenced, but its function was unknown until recently. It consists of 184 nucleotides that fold into an extended hairpin structure with a large single-stranded internal bulge. The 6S RNA specifically associates with RNA polymerase holoenzyme containing the sigma70 specificity factor.
Source: RNAcentral
CGGUAGCUGCGGUGCACGACCGGUCAUAUUAAUCCCUGGGGCCAACAGUGAUCUCGACGGGAGCUGUCCCUGCCGGACCCCUGGGUCCGGUACACGGCGCCCACCUGCUGACGCAGGCCACAGAGGAUCACCUGACCGUCGGCUCAUGUGGCGCCGUC